This 2971-nucleotide long non-coding RNA is filed under the name Trifolium pratense (red clover). RNAcentral describes it as "long non-coding RNA (TPRA_LNC014231)". Lineage: Eukaryota; Viridiplantae; Streptophyta; Magnoliopsida; Fabales; Fabaceae. The record is from RNAcentral.
AAGCACAAGAUUGUCUUGAACUUGAACUCUCAACAGUCAACCCCGUUUCUUGAAGCACACUUUAAGAGAUAUUUGAACCCAACUCCAUUCUGACUUUUAUUACCAAUAUAUCAUCGUGUUAUUGAAUUCUCAAACACAUCUUCCAUCCCAAAAGUAUUACCUUCAAAAACCAGUAAGUUUUCCGGCCUUCAAAAUACACCCCAUACACAUGGAAACCAGAUUAUGAGAUUCCUCUUUUAUACAUUACAGUCUCCCCGACCCUUAAUAAUCAUGAGAACUGUGCAACAUGAUUAUUGACUUCAUUACCGUCUUGACAUAAUUGAACAUUCAAAAAGUAGAUGUUAACAUCCUCUUCUUUACCACAACCGAUCAGACAUGUACCUGCCUCCAUACUAUUACUCCUCGCUUUAAAAGAUAAUCUUUAGUGCCUAUAGAAGGUUUCCAAGGCAAUUCUCACGUCAAUAUCUUACCAACUCGGCAGUCGGCACUAUAGAUUUUCCUGCAUCACAUCCCCCUCACAUUGAUACAAGUCACUAUCUUACCACCAAAUAGACACUUUUUCCACAUUGAAUCUCCAAAGGCCAAAGCCACUUCCUAAUAGAUAAGUUGAAAUCUCCCCAAUUUUAUAAACUUCCUAAUAAAGCUAAGUUGAAAGAUCUCUAAUUGUUUUAUACGCAGCCCCUCCCCGUCUUUUCCUACUUACAAACUUUCUCCCAACUAACCCAUUAAAAUGAUAGGUUAAUCUAACGGAGUAGUUCCUAUCUCUUUCCCCUGGCCAAGACAUCUUGUCUCCAAGAAAUGGGGAUGUUCAAGAUUUGUUGAGUUCCGUAGGCAUUAAAACAACCCUCUUUUCUACUGUUUUGGUUCAACAUUGAGUACCUAACUCACAAAGGUACCAUAAUUUAAAUUUGAAGCAUGACUCCACACCAUGAACCCAGCCUGACCCAGAAGUCAAUUGUCACACAAAUUUUCACCCUCUGCCAAUUUCCAAUGUUCUCGCAGACCCCCAUGUCAAUGACACUCCUCUACGCAUAGCUAGGUCGGAGACCAGAUGGAGCUCCCCAUAGGGUUGACAGAGGAUAGUUUCCACUCUCGCCAUCAGAGAGUUCUUUCCAUUAACUACUAAAAAUGCAUUCCAAUAUGAGCUUUGUUAAACUCACUAAAGCUACAGAAGCACAGUCCAUGAGCACAUAUAUCCGUGCAGAAUGAUCCCCUAAAUUUAUAGCAAUGAUCAUCACAAUCUAAUACAAUGAAAUUGUCACCAACAAUUGCUCCCUUGGCGGCCUGAAACAAAAUUCAGAAUGUGAGUAUUAUUAUCCAUCGCCAUUACAAAUUAGUACAUAACAUAUGUAGUCAGCCUCAUCCUAUUUCAUGAAACAACCUCAGACAUCCAUUGUUAUUAACAUUGUUGUAAAGGAAGUAAAAACUAUUUAAUACUAAGCGUAAGGGUAAACUUUUUUGGACUUUAACAGAAGAUCGAAUUACCAACACACACUUUUAUAAGCUUUAAAGACUGACACUGAAAUUUAUGGUAAGUCACUGAAAAGGGAAAAGGAACAACAUAUGGUUAGGAAGUCCUACUUAACAACACAUACUAAAAGUCAUUCUAUUUCUAGUUACGUUGAAAAAUUGCCAACAAGACCAGUGAAUUAUACAACAGCUGCUCCCUCACAUUGCAACAAGUGUAAUGAAAAAUUUUUAACCUUCACUAAACAAAUUCAUACUUGCGAUGCAGACAUUGAACCAACAUUCAUACUUGCCCAUACCAACUCUCUUUAAUGUCAGUUGAGCCUCAUUGAUUCAACAUCCAUACUUGCCCGCCUCCAAGUUAGCAAACAAUUCCAAACAUAGUCAAAACAUAAAUAUUUUACAGAUGUUUCGCCCAACACCUGAUACCUUUGUUGAACAAAGCAAAAAUGUAAAAACUAGAUGCCUCUCCAUUUCCUUCUAAAUACCAUCUCUCUGCACAUGACCUCUCCAUACUGUCAACCUCUCCAUUCCCUUUAUUAAAAAUACAUAUGUUCAUUACAACCUAAGGGAUUUAAACACCAUUGUGAUAUUGAAUACUCAAAUCCCUUAUUUUUAGCAACUAACCGGUUCCAAGAUGUACUUAUUACCCUUUCAAACACAUCUUCCAGCCCCAGAGCUUUACCUUCAAGGCUUUAAAUACCAUUAAGUUUCUGGCCUUGUAAAUGACACCAUGCACAGGCAAACAAUUAUUGAAAGUUACCAUUUUUCAUACUAUAAAAACCAAAUCAAAAGAGGCAAAAAUUAAAUUGAUAUCCCACUUACAAGCAUAGCAAUGUUGUUCUACCUGCAAAGACACUUCGACUAUCAAAUCAAAUUAGUUAUGAAUUUAAAAUGAUUUUGGUAAAAAAAAUUACAUACCUACCUGAGAUGUUCUCCUUCUCCCCCCAACAGAUCAUCAUAUCACAAUUUCAAACAAAUAAAAUAAAAUAACAAUGGAAAGGAAGAAAUAACUCACCAUUUUCCCUCACCUAUUUCCAUAUAGAAAGCAUCAUCUAUAUAUUAUGUCAAAAAAUAACAAUCGAAUCUUACCCUUUUUCCUUACCCAUUUUGUUAUUAUAUCUCAACACUCGUUGCUACAUUGAGAAGCUCCUCACUAGCAUAAUGCAGAAAUCUUGAAAAGAUGCUAACAGCCUGACGUAAGGCACCUUAAUUAAGCAUCCAACUAAGCGUCGUCCAUAUUCUUCUUCAACUCUUCUUAGACGUACUUUUCUCGUAUAGCAAGAAUCGAGCCAUUUCCAUCAGGGUCCUAUUUUCUUCCUUUUACUCACACUAUUCUGUUGCAAUGAUAUUUUGAAGCCAGAACAUAGGUAAGCAAUGUAUCCAUUGAGAACUUCAAUAACGAUAACUAGAACUGUUUCAGAUAUGAUUACCCUCUCAGCCUCUUAUAGUAUCUUCUGCUCCUUUCUGUUUUUAGUUUUCAAAAGAAAGUGAGUAACAAANN